This 1017-nucleotide ribosomal RNA is filed under the name Triticum aestivum (bread wheat). Its description in RNAcentral is "partial small subunit ribosomal RNA". Lineage: Eukaryota; Viridiplantae; Streptophyta; Magnoliopsida; Poales; Poaceae. The record is from RNAcentral.
AUGCACGCGGAGAGACUAAGGGAAAAAGAGGAGAGGCCCCGGGCGCCGCCGGGUCCGAACCAAGAAGACGAGUCUGAACAGGAUUACAACAAGUACCGGCAGAUCUGGGACAUGAAGUGGUCCAAACAGUACGGCUCUUUCGAGGACACCACGUCGAUCCCCGCCAUGUGUUUCACGGACAAUCCUAUGCCUCGUUUCACUGUCCACCAGACCACCAUGCAGAUCUUCUCAGUCAAGGUCACGGAAAUAACUGGCGGUUUACAGUGGCCCCUCGAUGUAUUUGGCAUGAUCGCCAUGCGCGACGACCUGGAUCAUAAUCGCAAUAUUAUCUUUAACCGCUCAAGGGACAACUGCCAAACCCUCACCCAACAGGGUCAGCAUUUGGUUCUUACAGGUCCUGCUCGUGCUGUUGUGCAUGAGGGGCAUCCGUCUGUGUACUUUGAGGCCAUUCUAAAAGUUAAGGGCGCUACCUGUUCAGAGGACAGAGAUCUAAGCCUCCUGAUCAGCCGCUGCAAUACCCGUCAAUCGGCAUCCAAAUCGCUUGUGGGCACCAGAUGCUACAGAAGUAAGCUCAGCACACUGGAGCUGGCAUAUGGCAUCAUCGUCGCUUGCGCCGAGGCCACCAUCAGAGUCGAGCUGGUCGAGGGGUCAUGGCCAGAAGGGUUCCACGGCCAGUUGACUGCAUGUACUGCCAGUGUUCCCCACAUGAAAGUCUUGCUGCUCGAUUCAGGCGAGAAAGAGGCCGUCGUCGGCGACGGCGGCAAGAUGGAACUCUCGCGCCGUGUUGUCUCUGUUGAAAGGUCUGGGCAGCUCGUGGUUUGUGCUGUGUUGUCUCGUGGUGGUGAGAAGGUCGUGGAGGCUGAGACGUCCUUAGCACCAUUGGAGGCCGGUAGAAGCCAUGACAUGCUUGAUGUUGGCUCGUGUAAGCUGCGAGUCACGGUGGCCUGGUCGCCAAUUCUGAAAGGCUAUCCACUUCGUGGUUUUUCUCUACCUUCCAGCGAGGCUGUUGUUAGCUAG